Molecule: unclassified non-coding RNA, 285 nt
Filed under: plant metagenome
Description: partial contains small subunit ribosomal RNA, internal transcribed spacer 1, and 5.8S ribosomal RNA
Rfam family: Eukaryotic small subunit ribosomal RNA (bases 1-54)
Source: RNAcentral
GGAAGUAAAGGUCGUAACAAGGUUUCCGUAGGUGAACCUGCGGAAGGAUCAUUAUCGUAUAACCGAGGUGCGAGGGCUGUCGCUGACCCGAAAGGUCGUGCACGCCCGAGUGCCCUCACACACAUCCAUCUCACCCCUAUGUGCACCACCGCGUGGGUCCCCCUUUGGCUUGUUCGGAGGGGGGCUUACGUUUUCACACAAACUUUGUAUGCAGUGUAGAAUGUAUUUUUUGUUUUUGCGAUCACGCAAUCAAUACAACUUUCAACAACGGAUCUCUUGGCUCUC